Chinchilla lanigera (long-tailed chinchilla) is the source of this 67-nucleotide non-coding RNA. NCBI's taxonomy places the organism in Eukaryota, Metazoa, Chordata, Mammalia, Rodentia, Chinchillidae. The record is from Ensembl.
CAUUAUGAAGCUAUCUCAGCAUUAACCUUUUAAGUUAAAGACUUGGGAAUUGAUUUCCCCAUAAUGA